RNAcentral lists this long non-coding RNA (201 nucleotides) under Mytilus galloprovincialis (Mediterranean mussel). Lineage: Eukaryota; Metazoa; Mollusca; Bivalvia; Mytilida; Mytilidae. The record is from RNAcentral.
UCUCCAAUAGAAUGUUCAACAGUGACUCUGUAUUCUUUGAUUAAAUUAUUAAUUUUGCGACACCUCCUUUUUAAAUUGUCCGGUUUUCGCUGUAUUUGCUGGUGUGUAUAGGGUGUCAUAAGAGGAUAUCUAUUAGGAUAUAUUUUAUCUGCAAGUAAAACAAUUCCUUCAGGAAAGUCAAGCUCCGCAUUUCUACCAAUU